This 313-nucleotide ribosomal RNA is filed under the name Bacillus sp. (in: firmicutes). RNAcentral's name for it is "bacterial SSU rRNA". It matches the Rfam family "Bacterial small subunit ribosomal RNA", at positions 50 to 351 of the family's 1533-position model. The record is from RNAcentral. Lineage: Bacteria; Bacillati; Bacillota; Bacilli; Caryophanales; Bacillaceae.
GCUAUACAUGCAAGUCGAGCGGACAGAAGGGAGCUUGCUCCCGGAUGUUAGCGGCGGACGGGUGAGUAACACGUGGGUAACCUGCCUGUAAGACUGGGAUAACUCCGGGAAACCGGAGCUAAUACCGGAUAGUUCCUUGAACCGCAUGGUUCAAGGAUGAAAGACGGUUUCGGCUGUCACUUACAGAUGGACCCGCGGCGCAUUAGCUAGUGGGGGGGGGAACGGCUCACCAAGGGGACGAUGCGUAGCCGACCUGAGAGGGUGAUCGGCCACGCGGGGACUGAGACACGGCCCAGACUCCUAGGGGAGGCAC